RNAcentral lists this ribosomal RNA (459 nucleotides) under uncultured bacterium. RNAcentral describes it as "partial 16S ribosomal RNA". It matches the Rfam family "Bacterial small subunit ribosomal RNA", at positions 339 to 795 of the family's 1533-position model. The record is from RNAcentral.
CUACGGGUGGCUGCAGUGAGGAAUAUUGGUCAAUGGGCGCGAGCCUGAACCAGCCAUCCCGCGUGCAGGAUGACGGCCCUAUGGGUUGUAAACUGCUUUUCUAUGCCAAGAAACCUGAUUACGUGUAAUCAGUUGCCGGUAGCAUAGGAAUAAGCAUCGGCUAACUCCGUGCCAGCAGCCGCGGUAAUACGGAGGAUGCAAGCGUUAUCCGGAUUCAUUGGGUUUAAAGGGUGCGCAGGUGGGCUUGUAAGUCAGUGGUGAAAUGCUGCCGCUUAACGGUAGAACUGCCAUUGAUACUGCGAGUCUGGAGUAUGGUUGAGGUAGGCGGAAUGUGUUGUGUAGCGGUGAAAUGCAUAGAUAUGACACAGAACGCCAAUUGUGAAGGCAGCUUACUAAGCCAUUACUGACGCUGAGGCACGAAAGCGUGGGGAGCGAACAGGAUUAGAUACCCGAGUAGUC